GAUGAACGCUGGCGGCGUGCCUAAUACAUGCAAGUCGAGCGAACGGACGAGAAGCUUGCUUCUCUGAUGUUAGCGGCGGACGGGUGAGUAACACGUGGAUAACCUACCUAUAAGACUGGGAUAACUUCGGGAAACCGGAGCUAAUACCGGAUAAUAUUUUGAACCGCAUGGUUCAAAAGUGAAAGACGGUCUUGCUGUCACUUAUAGAUGGAUCCGCGCUGCAUUAGCUAGUUGGUAAGGUAACGGCUUACCAAGGCAACGAUGCAUAGCCGACCUGAGAGGGUGAUCGGCCACACUGGAACUGAGACACGGUCCAGACUCCUACGGGAGGCAGCAGUAGGGAAUCUUCCGCAAUGGGCGAAAGCCUGACGGAGCAACGCCGCGUGAGUGAUGAAGGUCUUCGGAUCGUAAAACUCUGUUAUUAGGGAAGAACAUAUGUGUAAGUAACUGUGCACAUCUUGACGGUACCUAAUCAGAAAGCCACGGCUAACUACGUGCCAGCAGCCGCGGUAGUACGUAGGUGGCAAGCGUUAUCCGGAAUUAUUGGGCGUAAAGCGCGCGUAGGCGGUUUUUUAGUCUGAUGUGAAAGCCCACGGCUCAACCGUGGAGGGUCAUUGGAAACUGGAAAACUUGAGUGCAGAAGAGGAAAGUGGAAUUCCAUGUGUAGCGGUGAAAUGCGCAGAGAUAUGGAGGAACACCAGUGGCGAAGGCGACUUUCUGGUCUGUAACUGACGCUGAUGUGCGAAAGCGUGGGGAUCAAACAGGAUUAGAUACCCUGGUAGUCCACGCCGUAAACGAUGAGUGCUAAGUGUUAGGGGGUUUCCGCCCCUUAGUGCUGCAGCUAACGCAUUAAGCACUCCGCCUGGGGAGUACGACCGCAAGGUUGAAACUCAAAGGAAUUGACGGGGACCCGCACAAGCGGUGGAGCAUGUGGUUUAAUUCGAAGCAACGCGAAGAACCUUACCAAAUCUUGACAUCCUUUGACAACUCUAGAGAUAGAGCCUUCCCCUUCGGGGGACAAAGUGACAGGUGGUGCAUGGUUGUCGUCAGCUCGUGUCGUGAGAUGUUGGGUUAAGUCCCGCAACGAGCGCAACCCUUAAGCUUAGUUGCCAUCAUUAAGUUGGGCACUCUAAGUUGACUGCCGGUGACAAACCGGAGGAAGGUGGGGAUGACGUCAAAUCAUCAUGCCCCUUAUGAUUUGGGCUACACACGUGCUACAAUGGACAAUACAAAGGGCAGCGAAACCGCGAGGUCAAGCAAAUCCCAUAAAGUUGUUCUCAGUUCGGAUUGUAGUCUGCAACUCGACUACAUGAAGCUGGAAUCGCUAGUAAUCGUAGAUCAGCAUGCUACGGUGAAUACGUUCCCGGGUCU
This 1371-nucleotide ribosomal RNA is filed under the name uncultured bacterium. RNAcentral describes it as "bacterial SSU rRNA". It matches the Rfam family "Bacterial small subunit ribosomal RNA", at positions 28 to 1381 of the family's 1533-position model. The record is from RNAcentral.